This 450-nucleotide ribosomal RNA is filed under the name uncultured bacterium. Its description in RNAcentral is "bacterial SSU rRNA". It matches the Rfam family "Bacterial small subunit ribosomal RNA", at positions 917 to 1382 of the family's 1533-position model. The record is from RNAcentral.
GGGCCCGCACAAGCAGCGGAGCGUGUGGUUUAAUUCGAUGCAACGCGAAGAACCUUACCCAGGCUUGACAUUCAAGUGCAAACCCUGGAAACAGGGCCCUCCGCGAGGACACUUGGACAGAUGCUGCAUGGCUGUCGUCAGCUCGUGUCGUGAGAUGUUGGGUUAAGUCCCGCAACGAGCGCAACCCUCGCUGCCAGUUGAGGUACUCUGGCGGGACCGCCGGGACAAACCCGGAGGAAGGUGGGGACGACGUCAAGUCAGCACGGCUCUUACGCCUGGGGCUACACACACGCUACAAUGGCCGGUACAGAGGGCUGCUAAAGCGCGAGCUGGAGCAAAUCCCAGAAAACCGGUCUCAGUUCGGAUUGCAGGCUGCAACUCGCCUGCAUGAAGUCGGAGUUGCUAGUAACCGCAGGUCAGCACACUGCGGUGAAUACGUUCCCGGGCCUU